AUUGAACGCUGGCGGUAGGCCUAACACAUGCAAGUCGAACGCGAAAGUUCUUCGGAAUGAGUAGAGUGGCGGACGGGUGAGUAACGCGUAGGAAUCUGUCCUGUAGUGGGGGAUAACUCGGGGAAACUCGAGCUAAUACCGCAUACGUCCUAAGGGGGAAAGCGGGGGAUCUUCGGACCUCGCGCUAUAGGGAGAGCCUGCGUCGGAUUAGCUAGUUGGUAGGGUAAAAGCCUACCAAGGCGACGAUCCGUAGCUGGUCUGAGAGGAUGAUCAGCCACACCGGAACUGAGACACGGUCCGGACUCCUACGGGUGGCAG
This 318-nucleotide ribosomal RNA is filed under the name uncultured Pseudomonadota bacterium. RNAcentral's name for it is "bacterial SSU rRNA". It matches the Rfam family "Bacterial small subunit ribosomal RNA", at positions 30 to 351 of the family's 1533-position model. The record is from RNAcentral. Lineage: Bacteria; Pseudomonadati; Pseudomonadota.